RNAcentral lists this ribosomal RNA (274 nucleotides) under Clostridioides difficile. RNAcentral's name for it is "partial 23S ribosomal RNA". It matches the Rfam family "Bacterial large subunit ribosomal RNA", at positions 840 to 1114 of the family's 2925-position model. The record is from RNAcentral. Lineage: Bacteria; Bacillati; Bacillota; Clostridia; Peptostreptococcales; Peptostreptococcaceae.
CGGAGAUAGCUGGUUCUCCCCGAAAUAGCUUUAGGGCUAGCCUCAAGGUGAGAGAUACGGAGGUAGAGCACUGAAUGUCCUAGGGGGUAUUGCACCUACCGAAGACUAUUAAACUCCGAAUGCCGUCAUCUUAUACUUGGGAGUCAGACUGUGGGUGAUAAGAUUCAUAGUCGAAAGGGCAACAGCCCAGAUCGUCAGCUAAGGUCCCUAAAUGUAAGUUAAGUGGUAAAGGAUGUGGGAUUGCACAGACAACCAGGAUGUUGGCUUAGAAGCA